This 68-nucleotide transfer RNA is filed under the name Anacanthotermes sp. Its description in RNAcentral is "tRNA-Leu". The record is from RNAcentral. Lineage: Eukaryota; Metazoa; Arthropoda; Insecta; Blattodea; Hodotermitidae.
UCUAAUAUGGCAGAUAAGUGCGGUAGAUUUAAGCUCUACAUAUAAAGUUAAAACAACUUUUAUUAGAA